AUCACUUCUCUGCCUUUUGGCUAAGAUGAAGUGUAGUAUCUGUUCUUAUAAGUUUAAUAUAUUUUAUAUUGAAUUGAUUAUUGGAACAGGGAGAUGGAAUAGUUCCGUCCACUCCACGCAUCGACGUGGUAUUGCAGUAGCAUACCUCCAGGAACGGUGCACCUCUU
The sequence is a small nuclear RNA, 167 nucleotides long. Its record names the gene U2. It matches the Rfam family "U2 spliceosomal RNA". Rfam says of the family: U2 is a small nuclear RNA (snRNA) component of the spliceosome (involved in pre-mRNA splicing). Complementary binding between U2 snRNA (in an area lying towards the 5' end but 3' to hairpin I) and the branchpoint sequence (BPS) of the intron results the bulging out of an unpaired adenosine, on the BPS, which initiates a nucleophilic attack at the intronic 5' splice site, thus starting the first of two transesterification reactions that mediate splicing. The record is from Ensembl.